RNAcentral lists this ribosomal RNA (659 nucleotides) under Amanita rubescens. RNAcentral describes it as "eukaryotic LSU rRNA". The stretch from base 264 to 417 matches the Rfam family "5.8S ribosomal RNA". The record is from RNAcentral. Lineage: Eukaryota; Fungi; Basidiomycota; Agaricomycetes; Agaricales; Amanitaceae.
GAAGGUCAUUACUGAACGAAAUGGGUGGCAAGGCUGUCGCUGGCUCUAAUGAGCAUGUGCACGUCUUUUGCCGCUUGCUUCAUUCUAUUUUCCACCUGUGCACUCUUUGUAGACACUUGGGAAUGGGAGAGAGUUGGCAUCGACUGUUGACCCUCUCUUGAUAUUAAAAAGUCUGGGUGUCUAUGUGUUUUUUCACAUACACAAGUUGAAUGUCUAUAGAAUGAAAUUGUAGGCUUUUGUCAGCCUUUUAAAUGAUAAAAUACAACUUUCAACAACGGAUCUCUUGGCUCUCGCAUCGAUGAAGAACGCAGCGAAAUGCGAUAAGUAAUGUGAAUUGCAGAAUUCAGUGAAUCAUCGAAUCUUUGAACGCAUCUUGCGCUCCUUGGUAUUCCGAGGAGCAUGCCUGUUUGAGUGUCAUUAAAUAUCUCAAAAAGCUUGUGCUUUUUUGGCACGGGAAUUUUGGACAUUGGGAGUUGCCGGCUACUGAUAAAGUGGUGGGCUCUUCUGAAAAGCAUUAGUCGAGGAGCUUUGCACUCUAUUGGUGUGAUAGACUAUCUAUGCCAGGAGAUGCUUCAUGAUCCUCCGCUGUCUUAACUGUCUUUAUCAGACAAUAUGAUAAACUUGACCUCAAAUCAGGUAGGACUACCCGCUGAACUUAA